RNAcentral lists this ribosomal RNA (208 nucleotides) under uncultured bacterium. Its description in RNAcentral is "partial 16S ribosomal RNA". It matches the Rfam family "Bacterial small subunit ribosomal RNA", at positions 567 to 774 of the family's 1533-position model. The record is from RNAcentral.
GCGCGUAGGCGGUCUUGUCAGUCAGAUGUGAAAGCCCGGGGCUCAACCCCGGAAGUGCAUUUGAUACUAUGAGACUUGAGUAUGGGAGAGGGAAGUGGAAUUCCUGGUGUAGAGGUGAAAUUCGUAGAUAUCAGGAGGAACACCGGUGGCGAAGGCGACUUCCUGGACCAAUACUGACGCUGAGGCGCGAAGGCGUGGGGAGCAAACA